GAUGAACGCUGGCGGCGUGCUUAACACAUGCAAGUCGAACGGAAAGGCCCAAGCUUGCUUGGGUACUCGAGUGGCGAACGGGUGAGUAACACAUGGGUGAUCUGCCCUGCACUUCGGGAUAAGCCUGGGAAACUGGGUCUAAUACCGGAUAGGACGAUGGUUUGGAUGCCAUUGUGGAAAGUUUUUUCGGUGUGGGAUGAGCUCGCGGCCUAUCAGCUUGUUGGUGGGGUAAUGGCCUACCAAGGCGUCGACGGGUAGCCGGCCUGAGAGGGUGUACGGCCACAUUGGGACUGAGAUACGGCCCAGACUCCUACGGGAGGCAGCAGUGGGGAAUAUUGCACAAUGGGCGCAAGCCUGAUGCAGCGACGCCGCGUGGGGGAUGACGGCCUUCGGGUUGUAAACUCCUUUCGCUAGGGACGAAGCGUUUUUGCGACGGUACCUGGAGAAGAAGCACCGGCUAACUACGUG
This 468-nucleotide ribosomal RNA is filed under the name uncultured bacterium. RNAcentral describes it as "partial 16S ribosomal RNA". It matches the Rfam family "Bacterial small subunit ribosomal RNA", at positions 28 to 507 of the family's 1533-position model. The record is from RNAcentral.